RNAcentral lists this ribosomal RNA (433 nucleotides) under uncultured bacterium. RNAcentral describes it as "partial 16S ribosomal RNA". It matches the Rfam family "Bacterial small subunit ribosomal RNA", at positions 29 to 507 of the family's 1533-position model. The record is from RNAcentral.
AACGAACGCUGGCGGCAUGCCUAACACAUGCAAGUCGAACGAGACCUUCGGGUCUAGUGGCGCACGGGUGCGUAACGCGUGGGAACCUUCCCUUAGGUUCGGAAUAACUCCCCGAAAGGGGUGCUAAUACCGGAUAAUGUCUUCGGACCAAAGAUUUAUCGCCUUUGGAUGGGCCCGCGUUGGAUUAGCUAGUUGGUAGGGUAAAAGCCUACCAAGGCUACGAUCCAUAGCUGGUCUGAGAGGAUGAUCAGCCACACUGGGACUGAGACACGGCCCAGGCUCCUACGGGAGGCAGCAGUGGGGAAUAUUGGACAAUGGGCGAAAGACUGAUCCAGCAAUGCCGCGUGAGUGAUGAAGGCCUUAGGGUUGUAAAGCUCUUUUAACCGGGAUGAUAAUGACAGUACCGGGAGAAUAAGCGCCGGCUAACUCCGUG